Prosopis cineraria is the source of this 3749-nucleotide long non-coding RNA. RefSeq lists it as uncharacterized. Lineage: Eukaryota; Viridiplantae; Streptophyta; Magnoliopsida; Fabales; Fabaceae. The record is from RefSeq and is a predicted model, not a curated record. The transcript has 4 exons.
UUGUUUUUUUAUUCUACUUUUCGGUCCGUCUCUAUCGCACGAAAAUGGUAAGGGUUUGCCGUUGCGUGGGAAUUUUCCAGCUAUUCUUUCACUAGACUGUAACCCCCUUUUCUAUGAUUCCCUUAAAGCAUCCCCUGCAAUCUUCCUUUUUGGUGAUUUCUCCUGCUAAGAGCAGGCCUGAAGGAUGGUAGUCGAUAAAACGAUUUCAUUUCUAUCUUCACUCUUCUCAAAACCAUAAACCUAUUUGGCUACACUUAUCAUUUUAGUCCCAUCAUCGAUGCUCUGCAUUUGGUUUCAUGAUCUAGAGUUCUUCUCCUCUUAGAACUCCGUAUCACAAAUGGUGUUCCUUGAGCGGCGGCGAUUUUCACAGCUUCUUCUUCACUAGAGUCUGAUGUGAAUGGCCUUCCUCCGGUGCUUCUAUCUGACAAAUUACAAGGGCACGUGCAUUCUUUUUCCAUCGUCACCCAUCUCUCUAAUCUCGCUCUCUCGCUUCUAUGAGUUCUUUUCCCUCUUUCUUCUUCAUCAGUUUCUUUUUUUCAUCACCGUCUUUCCCAUCUCCAAUGCCUUCACUCAUGAACUUCAUGCAUCGAUAGCGAGACUCAGAGGCUCCGACUAACAACGCCUUUUGGGAAAAAAACUGAAGGUUUUAACAUUCCGAGCUCCUCCUUAGGAGAUGCAGUGAAGGAAUCCUGGGGAAUUUUUUGCAGGCGAUAGUAAAGUAGGAUAGGAUUCAUUUUAAUAGCACUCGAAAACUGCAGUGUUGAAGAGAAGGCAUCUAUUUUUGAAGAAAUCCUUCCAUAUUCAUCAAAAUUAGUGAUGGGUGCGUUUGGCAAUUAUGUAAUUUAGAAGUAUUUUGAGCAUUAAAGCCUAAAAACCUUGCAGAUCAGCUUUCUGCACAGAUUUUACCAUUAAGUUUGCCCUGUUACCCUUUUAUGUGCCUGAUGAGUUAUGAGUAUAAUUUGAAUAAUAGCUUUCUUUAACAAUUUCCAGUUUUUGUCCAGGAAUUGCCAUGUUCAUGUUGCAUUACUUAAUGAACUACUACACUCUUGAUAUAAUUUCUUUUCCUAGAUGCAAACAUUUUGACAAAAUCGUAAGAUGCUCUAGAUACAAAGAGAUUUAAUCUUACAUUUCUUUUUCUCAUGGUACAUAGGAUGUGAGAAAGAGAAUCAGUAAGACAUGUGCAUGCAUGAUCAUUUGGCAAUUAAAUUUUAGAUAAAACUGCUCACAUAAUAUAGUUCUUAAAGAUGACAUUAUUUUAUUAUAUGAUGGGGGCUUGCAUUAUACGUGCCCAUUUUGUCUUCAGGUAUAAAUCAAUUCAGAAGAGAAUAACAUAGGAAGUUUGACUGGAGAUAUAAAGAAUCUUAAAUGAUACAUUUCCAUUCAAAAAUUGGCGUGAAAAGUACUUCAUUUAAAAACAAAAAAAAAACUCACUUUUUUCUUUCUCUAUAAUUUCUGUUAUUUUCCUCUUAUGUGCAAGAGUUUUGGCAACCUCCAGUUUCUACUAUCAUGAAAUUGAAUGUGCGUUGCUUUAUUACAAAAUUUCUUGGCUUUUAAAAUGAUCUAUCUGUGACAUAAGACUAUUAAAUUUGUCUAUACAUUUAACACAAAAGGGAUGCUGUGUUUGUGCUAUAGCUAUUCAGAAUAGGGUGGGAUUUUGGUUUUUAUAGGAAGUAGCUUUGCAAUGAUUCUAGCUUUGAUGAAUGUUUAUGGUCACAUAACAUCUCCCAAACCAAGUCCUCAUACUCAAACUUAAUUUUUUUUCAGAAAUAUAAAACACACUUGGAUAAAGUUGCCUUAAUCUUUGUGUACCAAGCUAGAAAAGGCAAGUAUGCACCUUAGUAUCUCCCCAAUCAAAAUAAAUAUUUUAUUCAAAGUUACCAUUAGCUUCUGUACACUACAAUUUAUUUUCCCUAUGCAUUAGCAUGAGACUUGCCAACUUUUACUUAGAGUAUUAAUGCAACUAGCUUUCUCUUCCAUCAACUGAUACCAAUGCCAUUUUGGUGAUAUAUCGUUUCAUCUUUUUUGACAGUGGGUUUUUUAAUCUCCUGUAAAGUAUUACUGCUAUUAUCUUAAUUUGCUUGCCAUCUUUUGCUUCAUGUAAGAAAGAUGACUUCUUUUAUGUUCAUUUUAUUGGUUUAUGUGAUAAUACCAAUUUGUAGUGUGUAGGUGAAUAAGCAUUGGUUGAUGUAACAUAAAAAUAGAAAUACCAAUUUGUAGUGUGUAGGUGAAUAUUUUAUUAGUUUUUUUUAAUAUUCGACGGUCAUGGUGUUUGAAUAGUCCUCUGUUCCCGUUGUUUCUAUAUAAUGUUGGCAUCAGCAAAGAUUCGGUUGGUUUGUUUGCUAUCCUUAGUGCAAUAAUCUCCUUCUAGAGCUCACUGAUUACUCGGUUUAUCAAUGUGGUAGUUGUGGCGCCAUUCGAGGUACCCUUUCUUCAUUUUCUUCUUCUUCUUAUGUAUGUUCUGUGUUCUUUGGCUUCAAAAAUUUUGUAGAGUAGUUUUAAUUUAAAGAAAAAUUUGCCUUUUUAUUUCUAGCUUCACGACUAACAAAAAUACUUCAUCCCCAGAAUGUGGAUUUUUUGUAUAUUCAGUGAAUAGAAAUAAAUCGGUUGCUUCUUUAGUUCUACUUCCACUGUAUGUUUUAUUGUUUUAGGCUUCACAAAUUUUGCCCGGCCUUUUUUAUUCUAGGUUCAUGAUUAGGACAAUAUGCCAUUAUUGACUUUUUUAAUAUCCGAUUAAUAGGAGAUAAAUCAACAAAAUAUUGAAACGUAAGGAUGAAGUGAAGCUGGGAUAGAUUUGUAAUGUAAGAACUAAAAAACACGAUAAGCAUUUUAUUUUGUCUUUGCUUAGUUGUGUCAUCUGCCUUUUUGAUUGGGAAAUAAAGUUAUUUAUUAUGCAUAUUCAUAUAGCAGAAAGGCAUGACUUGGUUUGUCCCUUCAAAUCUUAAUAUCUCUUUGAUUCUUAUGUCUGAUUUCUCAUUUCUUAGGGACAACAUCUGAGAAGAAUGGGUUGUAAUAAUAGAUGUCUUAUCAUGACUAAUACUCAUUGUAAAUGUUAAAAUCCUGUGUAUUCCUUUCCUUUGAAAAAGAUAUUUUUCUGUCUAGCAUGUAAAGGCGUAUUUAAUUUCUCUCCCUCAAUGCUGUCAAUCUCUUGACUUAGACUUGAGAUGUUGCAGGUUUUGUUGCAGGAAAGUAAAAAGGGGUAAAGAGGAAGAGAAAAUGUUGGAAGAAGAAAAGGAUGGGUCGUGGCAGUGGCAGGGAGAGAUCUUAGAUCAUGGCUUAGCAUGGGCUUGCCUAUCAGCAUUGUUUUGAUUAGGCAAGGAAAAAGCCCAUGCUGAGUUAUUUGGUUGCUCGGAACAUAUCACCAUUGUCGUUUAGUUUUUUAGUUGGUAUAGGGUCAUUCAGAGUUACUAUCAUUGCUCUAAGUUUAGCAGGCCAGAUACUGAAUUGUGGAUUGGCAUUAUCCAGGAUCAAGAUUUCAUGAAUUUGGCAAUACAAAAAAUAACCUCUACUAAUAGAAGAAACACAAUAAAGUGAUGAAGACAGCAGUAAGCUUUUGUAUAAAGUUUUUCUUUAACACUAAUAAAGUUGUCUAAUUCAUUUUUUAGUUUAUUUUUGAUUUACAUGUAUCAAAGGUCUUUGCUCAGGUGCAAAGUUAUCAAUUACUUCUUCAUAUAAUAAAAUCGCCAUUUUCUUUUGGUGCAACACCAAUGAUCUCUGCUUCUUAUAAUACAAGACUUGGGGUUCUGUUCUAA